AAUAGAUACCCGGGUAGUCCACGCCGUAAACGAUGAGUGCUAAGUGUUAGGGGGUUUCCGCCCCUUAGUGCUGCAGCUAACGCAUUAAGCACCUCCGCCGUGGGGAGUACGGUCGCAAGACUGAAACUCAAAGGAAUUGACGGGGGCCCGCACAAGCGGUGGAGCAUGUGGUUUAAUUCGAAGCAACGCGAAGAACCUUACCAGGUCUUGACAUCCCACUGACCGCUAUGGAGACAUAGCUUUCCCUUCGGGGACAGUGGUGACAGGUGGUGCAUGGUUGUCGUCAGCUCGUGUCGUGAGAUGUUGGGUUAAGUCCCGCAACGAGCGCAACCCUUGAUCUUAGUUGCCAUCAUUUAGUUGGGCACUCUAAGGUGACUGCCGGUGACAAACCGGAGGAAGGUGGGGAUGACGUCAAAUCAUCAUGCCCCUUAUGACCUGGGCUACACACGUGCUACAAUGGACGGUACAAACGGUUGCCAACUCGCGAGGGGGGAGCUAAUCCGAUAAAACCGUUCUCAGUUCGGAUUGUAGGCUGCAACUCGCCUAC
This 547-nucleotide ribosomal RNA is filed under the name uncultured bacterium. Its description in RNAcentral is "bacterial SSU rRNA". It matches the Rfam family "Bacterial small subunit ribosomal RNA", at positions 777 to 1319 of the family's 1533-position model. The record is from RNAcentral.